Molecule: ribosomal RNA, 460 nt
Filed under: uncultured bacterium
Lineage: Bacteria
Description: partial 16S ribosomal RNA
Rfam family: Bacterial small subunit ribosomal RNA
Source: RNAcentral
CCUACGGGAGGCAGCAGUGAGGAAUAUUGGUCAAUGGGCGAGAGCCUGAACCAGCCAAGUCGCGUGAAGGAUGACGGCCCUACGGGUUGUACACUUCUUUUGUCAGGGAGCAAUUUAGUCCACGUGUGGGCUUAGCGAGAGUACCUGAAGAAAAAGCAUCGGCUAACUCCGUGCCAGCAGCCGCGGAAAUACGGAGGAUGGGAGCGUUAUCCGGAUUUAUUGGGUUGAAAGGGUGCGUGGGCGGAAUAUCAAGUCAGCGGUAAAAGUUCGGGGCUCAACCCCGUCGUGCCGUUGAAACUGAUGGUCUUGAGUGGGCGAGAGGUAUGCGGAAUGCGUGGUGUAGCGGUGAAAUGCAUAGAUAUCACGCAGAACUCCGAUUGCGAAGGCAGCAUACCGGCGCCCAACUGACGCUGAAGCACGAAAGCGUGGGUAUCGAACAGGAUUAGAUACCCCUGUAGUC